Molecule: ribosomal RNA, 253 nt
Filed under: uncultured bacterium
Lineage: Bacteria
Description: partial 16S ribosomal RNA
Rfam family: Bacterial small subunit ribosomal RNA
Source: RNAcentral
UACGGAGGGUGCAAGCGUUGUCCGGAAUCACUGGGCGUAAAGGGCGCGUAGGCGGCGCGGGGAGUCAACGGUGAAAGCUCGGCGCUCAACGCCGAGUCGGCCGUCGAUACUCCCGUGCUCGAGCACUGUAGAGGCAGGUGGAAUUCCGGGUGUAGCGGUGGAAUGCGUAGAGAUCCGGAAGAACACCGGUGGCGAAGGCGGCCUGCUGGGCAGUAGCUGACGCUGAGGCGCGACAGCGUGGGGAGCAAACAGG